CUGGGAUAACUCCGGGAAACCGGAGCUAAUACCGGAUAGUUCCUUGAACCGCAUGGUUCAAGGAUGAAAGACGGUUUCGGCUGUCACUUACAGAUGGACCCGCGGCGCAUUAGCUAGUUGGUGGGGUAAUGGCUCACCAAGGCGACGAUGCGUAGCCGACCUGAGAGGGUGAUCGGCCACACUGGGACUGAGACACGGCCCAGACUCCUACGGGAGGCAGCAGUAGGGAAUCUUCCGCAAUGGACGAAAGUCUGACGGAGCAACGCCGCGUGAGUGAUGAAGGUUUUCGGAUCGUAAAGCUCUGUUGUUAGGGAAGAACAAGUGCGAGAGUAAACUGCUCGCACCCUUGACGGUACCUAACCAGAAAGCCACGGCUAACUACUGCCAGCAGCCGCGGUAAUACGUAGGUGGCAGCGUUGUCCGGAAUUAUUGGGCGUAAAGGGCUCGCAGGCGGUUUCUUAAGUCUGAUGUGAAAGCCCCCGGCUCAACCGGGGAGGGUCAUUGGAAACUGGGAAACUUGAGUGCAGAAGAGGAGAGUGGAAUUCCACGUGUAGCGGUGAAAUGCGUAGAGAUGUGGAGGAACACCAGUGGCGAAGGCGACUCUCUGGUCUGUAACUGACGCUGAGGAGCGAAAGCGUGGGGAGCGAACAGGAUUAGAUACCCUGGUAGUCCACGCCGUAAACGAUGAGUGCUAAGUGUUAGGGGGUUUCCGCCCCCUUAGUGCUGCAGCUAACGCAUUAAGCACUCCGCCUGGGGAGUACGGUCGCAAGACUGAAACUCAAAGGAAUUGACGGGGGCCCGCACAAGCGGUGGAGCAUGUGGUUUAAUUCGAAGCAACGCGAAGAACCUUACCAGGUCUUGACAUCCUCUGACAACCCUAGAGAUAGGGCUUUCCCUUCGGGGACAGAGUGACAGGUGGUGCAUGGUUGUCGUCAGCUCGUGUCGUGAGAUGUUGGGUUAAGUCCCGCAACGAGCGCAACCCUUGAUCUUAGUUGCCAGCAUUCAGUUGGGCACUCUAAGGUGACUGCCGGUGACAAACCGGAGGAAGGUGGGGAUGACGUCAAAUCAUCAUGCCCCUUAUGACCUGGGCUACACACGUGCUACAAUGGACAGAACAAAGGGCUGCAAGACCGCAAGGUUUAGCCAAUCCCAUAAAUCUGUUCUCAGUUCGGAUCGCAGUCUGCAACUCGACUGCGUGAAGCUGGA
This 1206-nucleotide ribosomal RNA is filed under the name Bacillus sp. (in: firmicutes). RNAcentral describes it as "bacterial SSU rRNA". It matches the Rfam family "Bacterial small subunit ribosomal RNA", at positions 138 to 1330 of the family's 1533-position model. The record is from RNAcentral. Lineage: Bacteria; Bacillati; Bacillota; Bacilli; Caryophanales; Bacillaceae.